RNAcentral lists this ribosomal RNA (253 nucleotides) under uncultured bacterium. RNAcentral's name for it is "partial 16S ribosomal RNA". It matches the Rfam family "Bacterial small subunit ribosomal RNA", at positions 524 to 776 of the family's 1533-position model. The record is from RNAcentral.
GACGAAGGGGGCUAGCGUUGUUCGGAAUUACUGGGCGUAAAGGGCGCGUAGGCGGCCUGUUAAGUCGAACGUGAAAUCCCCGGGCUCAACCCGGGAACUGCGUCCGAUACUGGCAGGCUUGAAUCCGGGAGAGGGAUGCGGAAUUCCAGGUGUAGCGGUGAAAUGCGUAGAUAUCUGGAGGAACACCGGUGGCGAAGGCGGCAUCCUGGACCGGCAUUGACGCUGAGGCGCGAAAGCCAGGGGAGCAAACGGG